RNAcentral lists this ribosomal RNA (253 nucleotides) under uncultured bacterium. Its description in RNAcentral is "partial 16S ribosomal RNA". It matches the Rfam family "Bacterial small subunit ribosomal RNA", at positions 524 to 776 of the family's 1533-position model. The record is from RNAcentral.
UACGUAGGGCGCAAGCGUUGUCCGGAAUUAUUGGGCGUAAAGAGCUCGUAGGCGGCCUGUCGCGUCCGCUGUGAAAUCCCGGGGCUUAACCCCGGGCGUGCAGUGGAUACGGGCUGGCUGGAGGCAGGCAGGGGAGAACGGAAUUCCCAGUGUAGAGGUGAAAUUCGUAGAUAUUGGGAAGAACACCGGUGGCGAAGGCGGCGCUCUGGACCGAGACUGACGCUGAGGAGCGAAAGCGUGGGGAGCGAACAGG